This 407-nucleotide ribosomal RNA is filed under the name uncultured bacterium. RNAcentral's name for it is "partial 16S ribosomal RNA". It matches the Rfam family "Bacterial small subunit ribosomal RNA", at positions 360 to 774 of the family's 1533-position model. The record is from RNAcentral.
AAUCUUGCGCAAUGGGCGAAAGCGUGACGCCGCGACGCCGCGUGAGCGAUGAAGGCUUNCGGAUCNUNAAGCUCUCUCUUUGGGUNAGAGGGUCUUCGGACUUGACGGUACCUAAGGAGUAAGCCCCCGCGAACUACGUGCCAGCAGGCGCGGUAAUACGGAGGGGGCAAGCGUUGUCCGGAAUUACUGGGGGUAAAGGGUGCGUAGGCGGCCUUUUGAGUCAGGUGUGAUAGCCCACGGCUUAACCGUGGGAUUGCAUUUGAAACUGGAAGGCUUGAGUAUCGGAGAGGGUAGAGGGAUUCCCAGUGUAGCGGUGGAAUGCGUAGAUAUUGGGAGGAACACCAGUGGCGAAGGCGACUACCUGGACGAAAACUGACGCUGAGGCACGAAAGCUAGGGGAGCAAACA